GGCGUGCCUAAUACAUGCAAGUAGAACGCUGAAGAGAGGAGCUUGCUCUUCUUGGAUGAGUUGCGAACGGGUGAGUAACGCGUAGGUAACCUGCCUUGUAGCGGGGGAUAACUAUUGGAAACGAUAGCUAAUACCGCAUAACAAUGGAUGACACAUGUCAUUUAUUUGAAAGGGGCAAUUGCUCCACUACAAGAUGGACCUGCGUUGUAUUAGCUAGUAGGUGAGGUAAUGGCUCACCUAGGCGACGAUACAUAGCCGACCUGAGAGGGUGAUCGGCCACACUGGGACUGAGACACGGCCCAGACUCCUACGGGAGGCAGCAGUAGGGAAUCUUCGGCAAUGGGGGCAACCCUGACCGAGCAACGCCGCGUGAGUGAAGAAGGUUUUCGGAUCGUAAAGCUCUGUUGUAAGUCAAGAACGGGUGUGAGAGUGGAAAGUUCACACUGUGACGGUAGCUUACCAGAAAGGGACGGCUAACUACGUGCCAGCAGCCGCGGUAAUACGUAGGUCCCGAGCGUUGUCCGGAUUUAUUGGGCGUAAAGCGAGCGCAGGCGGUUUGAUAAGUCUGAAGUUAAAGGCUGUGGCUCAACCAUAGUUCGCUUUGGAAACUGUCAAACUUGAGUGCAGAAGGGGAGAGUGGAAUUCCAUGUGUAGCGGUGAAAUGCGUAGAUAUAUGGAGGAACACCGGUGGCGAAAGCGGCUCUCUGGUCUGCAACUGACGCUGAGGCUCGAAAGCGUGGGGAGCGAACAGGAUUAGAUACCCUGGUAGUCCACGCCGUAAACGAUGAGUGCUAGGUGUUGGAUCCUUUCCGGGAUUCAGUGCCGCAGCUAACGCAUUAAGCACUCCGCCUGGGGAGUACGACCGCAAGGUUGAAACUCAAAGGAAUUGACGGGGGCCCGCACAAGCGGUGGAGCAUGUGGUUUAAUUCGAAGCAACGCGAAGAACCUUACCAGGUCUUGACAUCCCGAUGCUAUUUCUAGAGAUAGAAAGUUACUUCGGUACAUCGGUGACAGGUGGUGCAUGGUUGUCGUCAGCUCGUGUCGUGAGAUGUUGGGUUAAGUCCCGCAACGAGCGCAACCCCUAUUGUUAGUUGCCAUCAUUCAGUUGGGCACUCUAGCGAGACUGCCGGUAAUAAACCGGAGGAAGGUGGGGAUGACGUCAAAUCAUCAUGCCCCUUAUGACCUGGGCUACACACGUGCUACAAUGGUUGGUACAACGAGUUGCGAGUCGGUGACGGCGAGCUAAUCUCUUAAAGCCAAUCUCAGUUCGGAUUGUAGGCUGCAACUCGCCUACAUGAAGUCGGAAUCGCUAGUAAUCGCGGAUCAGCACGCCGCGGUGAAUACGUUCCCGGGCCUUGUACACACCGCCCGUCACACCACGAGAGUUUGUAACACCCGAAGUCGGUGAGGUAACCUUUUGGAGCCAGCCGCCUAAGGUGGGACAGAUGAUUGGGGUGAAG
This 1460-nucleotide ribosomal RNA is filed under the name Streptococcus thermophilus. RNAcentral's name for it is "bacterial SSU rRNA". It matches the Rfam family "Bacterial small subunit ribosomal RNA". The record is from RNAcentral. Lineage: Bacteria; Bacillati; Bacillota; Bacilli; Lactobacillales; Streptococcaceae.